This 490-nucleotide ribosomal RNA is filed under the name uncultured bacterium. RNAcentral's name for it is "partial 16S ribosomal RNA". It matches the Rfam family "Bacterial small subunit ribosomal RNA", at positions 28 to 507 of the family's 1533-position model. The record is from RNAcentral.
GAUGAACGCUAGCGGCAGGCCUAAUACAUGCAAGUCGAACGGGAUCCAGAUCAAAGCUUGCUUUGGUUUGGUGAGAGUGGCGCACGGGUGCGUAACGCGUGAGCAACCUACCCUUGUCAGGGGGAUAGCCCGGCGAAAGUCGGAUUAAUACCGCAUGACAUCAUUGAGAGGCAUCUUUCGAUGAUCAAAGAUUUAUCGGACAAGGAUGGGCUCGCGUGACAUUAGCUAGUUGGUAAGGUAACGGCUUACCAAGGCUACGAUGUCUAGGGGCUCUGAGAGGAGAAUCCCCCACACUGGUACUGAGACACGGACCAGACUCCUACGGGAGGCAGCAGUAAGGAAUAUUGGUCAAUGGACGGAAGUCUGAACCAGCCAUGCCGCGUGCAGGAAGACGGCCCUAUGGGUUGUAAACUGCUUUUAUACGGGAACAAACGUCGGUACGCGUACCGGUCUGAGUGUACCGUAAGAAUAAGGAUCGGCUAACUCCGUG